Long non-coding RNA from Mastomys coucha (southern multimammate mouse), 449 nucleotides. RefSeq lists it as uncharacterized. The record is from RefSeq and is a predicted model, not a curated record. Lineage: Eukaryota; Metazoa; Chordata; Mammalia; Rodentia; Muridae. The transcript is spliced from 2 exons.
CAAAACGUUCUCACUUGAGAACCUGUAGGUAGGGUGGUUCAGGCCCCGGGGUUAGUGGGACACAUUGCAGCCAGGAUCGUCUGAGUGCUUGCUAGAUUGAAGGGAUGUUUAAUAUCCCUUCACUGUUUAACUGGCUCAGAAAGUGACUGAGUGAGAAGAGAGAACACGGUUACGUGGAAGACCUGUUAUGGACAUGAAAGCCGAACCCACCAUGAAGAUGUCACCGCGGGUCCAAAUUUGUAGGUGGACGCCAGAAGCGAAUUUAGACUAUGACCUGGGCAACCAGCAGACACACUAUUCCAGGCUUAAGAAAAUCCAGGUGGUUAAAAGGCAGCAUCCCUGUCUGUGCUUGGUCCAGGAACGCGGCCAUUCAUUUGUGGCCCACCACUGCCCUCUGGUGGCAAUCUCUAAAAAUGCAACUUGGUUUUAAAGGUUGGCGAUGGCGAGUC